This 226-nucleotide unclassified non-coding RNA is filed under the name Hevea brasiliensis (rubber tree). Lineage: Eukaryota; Viridiplantae; Streptophyta; Magnoliopsida; Malpighiales; Euphorbiaceae. The record is from RNAcentral.
UACAUCUGCCACCUUUGCUAUUUGUACUUACAGAACAUCAUGUGGUAACUUGGACAAUGACAAUGUAUAACAAUAUUCAUUAUUCUUUCUACCAUCCUUGAUCUUAUGUGAUAUCCGCAAACAACCAAAUGUGAUACAAUUAUCUAUUUAGUCCUGCCUUAGAUAGCUGUAAUGAAUCUGUAGUCCUGAACCUUACUAGAAGUGUAACAUUUUCUUUUUUUUUUAA